RNAcentral lists this long non-coding RNA (969 nucleotides) under Homo sapiens (human). Its description in RNAcentral is "HSALNT0068365". The record is from RNAcentral. Lineage: Eukaryota; Metazoa; Chordata; Mammalia; Primates; Hominidae.
AGGAGGGCGAUUAGCAGGUGCAAGGGGGAACAGAAAAGCACAGAAAACUGUUUCCACCGUGGAUUCAGGCUUGGGUCUUCCCACUGGAUUAUGAGCUUUAUCAUGUCAUAGCUUAUUAUCACGUUUAAUAUCAUGGCUAAGUUGAUAGCCCUGAGUAUCCCCAAAGCAUAUUCAUUACCUAAAUCACAUUCAUUUGGUGAGUUGCCAAAGAGGAUAGAGAAGAUGACUCUAUUGUUGUAAAAAAUAGAUAUGUAGAUGAUAGAUAGAUAGAUGGAUACACACACACACAGACAGACGGAAAAAAUCUGGAAGGACACAAACUAAAAUGUCAACAAUGGUUAUCUCUGGGUGAAAAAAUGACAGAUGAUUUUUGAUCUCUUCUAGAUUUUGCUUCCCUGUAUUUUCUAAGUUUUCUCUGUGAAGAUGAUUUACAUGUGUGAUUUUUCAACAUUAUUUUGAAAAAAUACUUUCUGGAGAAAAUGCCCCUUUUAAUUAGCAAAAGAUGUGCCUCUUAAGACUCCAGUGCAAGCAGGCAUGCAGGAGACAGGCGCCGUCCGAUAUCGGUGCGGGGAAAGUAAACGGGUACCACCUUCUGGAAGAGAAGCUGGCUGCGGUAUGGAGGGCCUUCUCAUCACAGGAGGGCAGAUGCUAUGAGGCAACUGAGGGUCAUAACAGAAAAGUGUCUAAGAUGCAGAUUCGGCUUCAAAAUUCAAGCCCACCCCAUGCUACUUCUGGACCUGUCCCAUGGAGAAGCCAAAAGCAGUGACCCUCUUCUCUCAGCCACAAGUGAGAGCUUAGCUUUCAGGACUGAGGGGAGAGUUGGUCUGUUUUUAUAACCAAAGCAAGAUGGCAGUGAUGAGUUUUGAAAAUUCUAAAUGAAUGCCAAAUUCAACAUAUAAAGCAAUUACCCACAAUUUUUACCUUUCCAGUGUUUUGAAAGACUGGAUAAUAUCCUUUGCAUGCCCCCAA